AUUGAACGCUGGCGGCAGGCCUAACACAUGCAAGUCGAACGAGUGGCGGACGGGUGAGUAAUGUCUGGGCAACUGCCUGGUGGAGGGGGAUAACUACUGGAAACGGUAGCUACUUCACCAUACCAGCGGCUGUGCCCAGAUGGGAUUAGCGAGUAGGUGGGGUAAAGGCUGACCUAGGCGACGAUCCCUAGCUGGUCUGAGAGGAUGACCAGCCACACUGGAACUGAGACACGGUCCAGACUCCUACGGGAGGCAGCAGUGGGGAAUAUUGCACAAUGGGCGCAAGCCUGAUGCAGCCAUGCCGCGGGUAUGAAGAAGGCCUUCGGGUUGUAAAGUACUUUCAGCGGGGAGGCGUUACCCGCAGAAGAAGCACCGGCUAACUCCGUGCCAGCAGCCGCGGUAAUAC
RNAcentral lists this ribosomal RNA (406 nucleotides) under uncultured bacterium. RNAcentral describes it as "partial 16S ribosomal RNA". It matches the Rfam family "Bacterial small subunit ribosomal RNA", at positions 30 to 526 of the family's 1533-position model. The record is from RNAcentral.